GCCGGUGUGGCUCAGUGGGCAGAGCGUCAGUCUGCAGACUGAAGGGUCCCGGGUUCGAUUCCCGGUCAGGGCG
Molecule: transfer RNA, 73 nt
Filed under: Myotis davidii
Lineage: Eukaryota; Metazoa; Chordata; Mammalia; Chiroptera; Vespertilionidae
Rfam family: tRNA
About the family: Transfer RNA (tRNA) molecules are approximately 80 nucleotides in length. Their secondary structure includes four short double-helical elements and three loops (D, anti-codon, and T loops). Further hydrogen bonds mediate the characteristic L-shaped molecular structure. tRNAs have two regions of fundamental functional importance: the anti-codon, which is responsible for specific mRNA codon recognition, and the 3' end, to which the tRNAs corresponding amino acid is attached (by aminoacyl-tRNA synthetases). tRNAs cope with the degeneracy of the genetic code in two manners: having more than one tRNA (with a specific anti-codon) for a particular amino acid; and 'wobble' base-pairing, i.e. permitting non-standard base-pairing at the 3rd anti-codon position.
Source: Rfam by way of RNAcentral